Molecule: non-coding RNA, 835 nt
Organism: Podarcis lilfordi (Lilford's wall lizard)
Lineage: Eukaryota; Metazoa; Chordata; Lepidosauria; Squamata; Lacertidae
Source: the annotation of a GenBank genome assembly
GCAAACUGGGCCCUCCAGAUGUUUUGGGACUACAACUCCCAUCAUUCUUUUGGUAACUCUAUAGCAGGCAUAAGCAAACUGGGCCCGCCAGAUGUUUGGGGACUACAACUCCCAUCAUCCUUUCGGUAACUCUAUAGCAGGCAUAGGCAAACUGGGCCCUCCAGAUGUUUUGGGACUACAACUCCCAUCAUCCUUUCAGUAACUCUAUACCAGGCAUAGGCAAAUUCAGCCUUCCAGAUGUUUUGGGACUACAAUUCCCAUCAUAUCCUUUCGGUAACUCUAUAGCAGGCAUAGGCAAACUGGGCCCUCCAGAUGUUUUGGGACUACAACUCCCAUCGUCCUUUUGGUAACUCUAUACCAGGCAUAGGCAAAUUCAGCCUUCCAGAUGUUUGGGGACUACAACUCCCAUCAUUCUUUCGGUAACUCUAUAGCAGGCAUAGGCAAACUGGGCCCUCCAGAUGUUUCGGGACUACAACUCCCAUCGUCCUUUCGGUAACUCUAUAGCAGGCAUAGGCAAACUCAGCCCUCCAGAUGUUUUGGGACUACAACUCCCAUCAUCCGUAGAGCUAUAGAGUUACCGAAAGAUUGAAAGAAAGAAAAAGAAGUGUUUUAUGUAUGCCAACGGAAAGAAGAUUCAGUACCGACAAGGGAGGAAUGGCAGACUAAAUUAAUGGACCAUGCCAAAAAUUAAGGGAUUAAUAGGGAACCAAGAGGUGGGGGAACUUUAUCAAAGACCAGGGGAAAUUCGUGGAUUGUCUGAAAUGUUACUGUUCAUCAGCGGGAUCAAUUUAAACCGAACAGUUAAAAAUUAAUGCUAAAAAGAGAACUAGGCAGU